This is a long non-coding RNA of Anolis carolinensis (green anole), 3699 nucleotides long. RefSeq annotates it as very-long-chain 3-oxoacyl-CoA reductase-B. The transcript has 11 exons. The record is from RefSeq and is a predicted model, not a curated record. NCBI's taxonomy places the organism in Eukaryota, Metazoa, Chordata, Lepidosauria, Squamata, Anolidae.
ACCUGGGAGUUGUAGUUUGGUGUUGUAGUUUUAUAUAUAUAUAAAAGAUCCAUCCAGCUGUAUCGUGAUAGGAUUUUUAACCUUCUUGGCUGGUGCCACACCAAACUACAACUCCCAGGUCUCCGUUGCUAAAGUGGUAUCAAACCACAUCAAUUCUACAGGUGCAGAUGCCCCCCAAGAUGCCCUCCAUAUUUUCAAGUCCCAAUGAUAUAUAUACAUACAUACAUACACACACACACACACACACACAUACAUACAUGCUGUAUAUAAUAGAUCAGGGGUCCCCAAACUUUUUAAACAGGGGGCCAGUUCACAAUCCUUCGGACCGUUGGAGGGCCAGACUAUAGUUGGCCACUGAGCAAUUAAUAAUAAUAAUAAUAAUAAUAAUAAUAAUAAUAAUAAUAAUAAUAAUAAAUAACAACAGCAAUAAUAAUAAAAAGAGGGUUGGAAGAGACCCUUUGGGCCAUUGAGUCCAAUCCCCUUCCGCCUUUGUGUACCGAAAGCACAAGCAAAGCACCCCUGACAGAUGGCCACCCAGCCUCAAUGUUAAUAAUAAUAAUAAUAAUAAUAAUAAUAAUAAUAGUAAUAAUAGUAAUUAAUAAAGAGGGUUGGAAGAGACACCUUGGGUCAUUAAGUCCAACCCUCGUCUACCUCUGCACCAAAAGCACAAGCAAAGCACCCCUGAUGGAUGGCCACCCAGCCUCAAUGUUAAUAAUAAUAAUAAUAAUAAUAAUAAUAAUAAUAAUAAUAAUAGUAAUUAAUAAAGAGGGUUGGAAGAGACACCUUGGGUCAUUAAGUCCAACCCUCGUCUACCUCUGCACCAAAAGCACAAGCAAAGCACCCCUGACAGAUGGCCACCCAGCCUCAAUGUUAAUAAUAAUAAUAACAAUAGUAAUAGCAAUAAUAAUUUAAAAAGGGUUGGAAGAGACCCUUUGGGCCAUUGAGUCCAAUCCCCUUCUGCCUUUGUGUACCGAAAACACAAGCAAAGCACCCCUGACAGAUGGCCACCCAGCCUCAAUGUUAAUAAUAAUAAUUAAUAAAGAGGGUUGGAAGAGACACCUUGGGCCAUUAAGUCCAACCCUCGUCUGCCUCUGUGCACCAAAGGCACAAGCAAAGCACCCCUGACAGAUGGUCACCCAGCCUUAAUGUUAAUAAUAAUAAUAAAGGUUGGAAGAGAAGAAGAGACCUCUUGGGUCAUUUAGCCCAACCCCCUUCUGCCCUUGUGCUGUGGGGGCCGGAUGAAUGGCUUCGAUGGGCCGCAUCCGGCCCCCGGGCCUUAGUUUGGGGACCCCUGUAAUAGAUUUUUAUUGAGAGAAAAAAAUAUUUUGUAUACAUAAAAGUAGGGGAACAAUAUAGGUACAGAAAAGUAGGAAAGAAAGAGAAGAGAGAGAAAAGGAGAAAAAUUGGGGAAACCUUCCCAAUGAAACCGGAAUAUUAUCUUCUCGGCAUGUUUGAUUCGGAGUUAUUUGCAGAUCAAAAUACAGUAGAGUCUCACUUAUCCAACAUAAACGGGCUGGCAGAACGUUGGAUAAGCGAAUAUGUUGGAUAAUAAGGAGAGAUUAAGGAAAAGCCUAUCGAAGAUCAAAUUAGGUUAUGAUUUUACAAAUUAAGCAGCAAAACAUCAUGUUAUACAACAAAUUUGACAGAAAAAGUAGUUCAAUAUGCAGUGAUGCUACGUAGUAAUUACUGUAUUUACGAUUUUAGCACCAAAAUAUCACAAUGUAUUGAAAACAUUGACUACAAACAUUGAGCAACAGCAAAUAUAUAAAUCAAACCAAGCAGUUGAUAGGUUUUUCAAAGUUGCAAUAAAAGAGUCAAUAGGAAUCCAAAGAGUUCAUAAGUCAUGAAAAUCCAUUAGUCCAUAAAUCAUAGCAAUCUAAUAAUCCAUAAGGCAAGGCAGUAGUCAGUAGAUCCCAAAAACAAGGCCCAAAGGUACAAAGAUCCAGAAAAACUCCUCCUAAGCAUGAAACAAGAACAUCCACACAGAUGAAGCGAGGAUUUGCUUUGACAACGAGCUGUCUGCAAACACACACUUUUAAAAGCACCCAAGAAAGGCAUUUCUUUUCCCAGAACUGGCCUCUUUCCCGCUAGCCUCUCACUCCUACGGACCUGAGAACCUCUCCAUAACAGACGGUCCACCCUAGAUAAAUCAAGGUCUUCGUUACGUUGCACCUGAACCGGUACUUGAGAGCUCUCUUAGUCAUGAAGGACUUGAGACCUCUUUUGAUCAUUAAUUCCCAUGGGAAUGUCAUCCUGGCUGUUAUCUAUGGCUUCUGGGGUCAACAGUUCAUUCUGCUCAAACUGCAAUUCUCCAGCCUCUGAUUCAGCCUGCAUUCCCAUGCCAUCAUCUUCUGGCUCUUGUAUCUGAAACCCAGAAUCCCCUUCUUCAUCCUGACUCUGGCUAUACUGUGGCUGAGUCCCAACAGUAGGUCUUUCAUAUAUAAGAACAAUGCAAACCAACUCUGCGUAGGUUUGGAAAUCAAAGGAUCUGUAUUCGGGGCGUGUUCCAGAGAUAAUCUCUCCACGCCUGUCUUACACAUCCGUGGUGCAGUGCAUUGGCACACGGAGUUUCAUUCUUGGCAAGGAGAGCACAGGAAAGGUGGAAAUGUCUCCCCAAAGUGGGACUUCUUCUCUGGACCUCGCCUUCUGCCUCUUUGGAGGUGCCAUCACCCUUUGGAUGCUCCUGAACAUCUCCUGGGGCCUCUGGUUCAAGGUCCGGACCCACGUUCUCUCCGAGUUUCAGAAAGGAGUGGAUUUCUCCCAUUACGGCACCUGGGCAGUGGUCACCGGUGCAACAUCCGGCAUUGGAAAAGCUUAUGCCCAUGAGCUUGCCAAGAAAGGUCUCGAUAUAGUCCUGGUCAGUCGCUCCAUGGAAAAGCUGAAGCAAGCGGCUGCUGAAAUUGAGGAACUCUACGGCCGGAACACCAAAGUCAUCCAGGCGGAUUUCACCGGAGGCUCCGAAAUCUACAAAUCCAUCCAGGAAGCUUUGCAUGGCUUGGAAAUAGGCGUUUUGGUGAACAACGUUGGCAUAAGCCAGACGGUGCCAUUAGAGUUCCUGCGGACCCCCGAUAUCGAGAAGUACAUUAACGACUUGGUGAAUUGCAACAUCCUUUCAACCUUGAAGAUGACGGAAGCCAUCCUUCCUCAAAUGGUCACCAGGAAGAAGGGAAUCGUCAUCAACGUCUCCUCCGGAUCCGCCUGGAGACCCGUACCCUUUGCCGCGAUGUACAGCUCCAGCAAGGCCUUCAUAGAUUUCUUCUCCCGAGCGUUAAACGUGGAAUACAGGUCCAAAGGCAUCAUUGUACAGUGUGUCCUCCCAAUGUUUGUCGACACCAACAUGACCAGACUCUUAAGCUCCCAGCUCGUAAAGAUGUCUCCUGAGGUCUUUGUCCACAAAGCCUUGAACACGGUGGGAUUCACCAACAGAACCUCCGGGUGCCUCAACCACAGCUUGCAGCAUUCCGUGUGGGAUUUGUUCUUCCCAGAAUCACUGCUGGACACAUCAUAUGGAUACUCGAUAUAUCGGUCUGCACUAAAGUACCUUUUUAAAUAAUGUAAAUUCACCUUCUUCGUGAUUCUUGCGGAAAGAAGCUGGACCAGGACCAGGACCGUACAGAGCAAUUGGGUUGCCAUGUUUCAAGCCUAUGUAAUUAAAAUGAUGGUUGCAUCAUGAUUUAAUAAAAUCCCCAUUAUGAAUUA